RNAcentral lists this ribosomal RNA (859 nucleotides) under Microbacterium sp. 164P3RAB. RNAcentral's name for it is "bacterial SSU rRNA". It matches the Rfam family "Bacterial small subunit ribosomal RNA", at positions 114 to 985 of the family's 1533-position model. The record is from RNAcentral. Lineage: Bacteria; Bacillati; Actinomycetota; Actinomycetes; Micrococcales; Microbacteriaceae.
CACGUGAGCAACCUGCCCCUGACUCUGGGAUAAGCGCUGGAAACGGCGUCUAAUACUGGAUAUGUGACGUGACCGCAUGGUCUGCGUCUGGAAAGAAUUUCGGUUGGGGAUGGGCUCGCGGCCUAUCAGCUUGUUGGUGAGGUAAUGGCUCACCAAGGCGUCGACGGGUAGCCGGCCUGAGAGGGUGACCGGCCACACUGGGACUGAGACACGGCCCAGACUCCUACGGGAGGCAGCAGUGGGGAAUAUUGCACAAUGGGCGCAAGCCUGAUGCAGCAACGCCGCGUGAGGGACGACGGCCUUCGGGUUGUAAACCUCUUUUAGCAGGGAAGAAGCGAAAGUGACGGUACCUGCAGAAAAAGCGCCGGCUAACUACGUGCCAGCAGCCGCGGUAAUACGUAGGGCGCAAGCGUUAUCCGGAAUUAUUGGGCGUAAAGAGCUCGUAGGCGGUUUGUCGCGUCUGCUGUGAAAUCCGGAGGCUCAACCUCCGGCCUGCAGUGGGUACGGGCAGACUAGAGUGCGGUAGGGGAGAUUGGAAUUCCUGGUGUAGCGGUGGAAUGCGCAGAUAUCAGGAGGAACACCGAUGGCGAAGGCAGAUCUCUGGGCCGUAACUGACGCUGAGGAGCGAAAGGGUGGGGAGCAAACAGGCUUAGAUACCCUGGUAGUCCACCCCGUAAACGUUGGGAACUAGUUGUGGGGUCCAUUCCACGGAUUCCGUGACGCAGCUAACGCAUUAAGUUCCCCGCCUGGGGAGUACGGCCGCAAGGCUAAAACUCAAAGGAAUUGACGGGGACCCGCACAAGCGGCGGAGCAUGCGGAUUAAUUCGAUGCAACGCGAAGAACCUUACCAAGGCUUGAC